RNAcentral lists this ribosomal RNA (928 nucleotides) under uncultured bacterium. RNAcentral's name for it is "bacterial SSU rRNA". It matches the Rfam family "Bacterial small subunit ribosomal RNA", at positions 571 to 1482 of the family's 1533-position model. The record is from RNAcentral.
UAGGGCGGUUUGUUCACGUUUUCUUGUGAAAAACUGGGAGGGUUCAACCUCCCAGCUUGCAAGUGGGUUACGGGCCAGAUUAGGGUUCCGGUAGGGGGAGAUUGGAAUUUCCUGGUGUAGCGGUGGAAAUGGGCAGAUAUCAGGAGGAACACCAAUGGCGAAGGCAGAUCUCUGGGCCGUAACUGACGCUGAGGAGCGAAAGCAUGGGGAGCGAACAGGGAUUAGAUACCCUGGUAGUUCCAUGCCGUAAAACGUUGGGAACUAGAUGUAGGGACCAUUCCACGGUUUCUGUGUCGCAGCUAACGCAUUAAGUUCCCCGCCUGGGGAGUACGGCCGCAAGGCUAAAACUCAAAGGAAUUGACGGGGGCCCGCACAAGCGGCGGAGCAUGCGGAUUAAUUCGAUGCAACGCGAAGAACCUUACCAAGGCUUGACAUAUACCGGAAAGCUGCAGAAAUGUAGCCCCCGCAAGGUCGGUAUACAGGUGGUGCAUGGUUGUCGUCAGCUCGUGUCGUGAGAUGUUGGGUUAAGUCCCGCAACGAGCGCAACCCUCGUUCUUUGUUGCCAGCACGUAAUGGUGGGAACUCAAAGGAGACUGCCGGGGUCAACUCGGAGGAAGGUGGGGAUGACGUCAAAUCAUCAUGCCCCUUAUGUCUUGGGCUUCACGCAUGCUACAAUGGCCGGUACAAAGGGCUGCAAUACCGUAAGGUGGAGCGAAUCCCAAAAAGCCGGUCUCAGUUCGGAUUGAGGUCUGCAACUCGACCUCAUGAAGUCGGAGUCGCUAGUAAUCGUGGAUCAGCAACGCCACGGUGAAUACGUUCCCGGGCCUUGUACACACCGCCCGUCAAGUCAUGAAAGUCGGUAACACCCGAAGCCAGUGGCCCAACCGCAAGGAGGGAGCUGUCGAAGGUGGGAUCGGUAAUUAGGACU